RNAcentral lists this ribosomal RNA (252 nucleotides) under uncultured bacterium. RNAcentral describes it as "partial 16S ribosomal RNA". It matches the Rfam family "Bacterial small subunit ribosomal RNA", at positions 100 to 353 of the family's 1533-position model. The record is from RNAcentral.
GACGGGUGAGUAAUGUCUGGGAAACUGCCUGAUGGAGGGGGGAUAACUACUGGAAACGGUAGCUAAUACCGCAUAACGUCGCAAGACCAAAGAGGGGGACCUUCGGGCCUCUUGCCAUCAGAUGUGCCCAGAUGGGAUUAGCUAGUAAGUGGGGUAACGGCUCACCUAGGCGACGAUCCCUAGCUGGUCUGAGAGGAUGACCAGCCACACUGGAACUGAGACACGGUCCAGACUCCUACGGGAGGCAGCAUG